This 360-nucleotide ribosomal RNA is filed under the name Triticum aestivum (bread wheat). RNAcentral's name for it is "partial small subunit ribosomal RNA". The record is from RNAcentral. Lineage: Eukaryota; Viridiplantae; Streptophyta; Magnoliopsida; Poales; Poaceae.
AUGGAUUCCAUCUUAGCUAACAGUACCUGGGAGAUCACUGACCGUCCUUAUGGGUGCAAACCUGUAGGAUGUAAGUGGGUGUUCAAUAAGAAGCUUAGACCUGAUGGUAUGAUUGAAAAGUACAAGGCACGGCUUGUGGCCAAGGGUUAUACCCAGAAAGAAGGUGAAGACUUCUUUGAUACUUACUCACCCGUGGCUAGACUGACCACAAUUCGGGUGCUACUAUCACUGGCCGCCUCACAUGGUCUUCUUGUUCAUCAAAUGGACGUUAAGACUGCUCUCCUCAAUGGAGAGUUGAAGGAGGAAAUUUACAUGGAUCAGCUAGAUGGUUUUGUAGUACCUGGUCAGGAAGGAAAGUGA